This 3183-nucleotide long non-coding RNA is filed under the name Prunus dulcis (almond). RNAcentral describes it as "sRNA ncRNA". The record is from RNAcentral. Lineage: Eukaryota; Viridiplantae; Streptophyta; Magnoliopsida; Rosales; Rosaceae.
GGAUGUGGUGAAGAGGGAUCAGGAAGUUUAUGUGAAGGUGAUUUCAAUUUCAGGUCAGAAGUUGAGCCUUUCGAUGAGGGAUGUUGAUCAAUAUACAGGGAAGGAUUUGCUCCCCUUGAAGAAGAGCUCAGAGGAUGAUGCUCUUAGGACGAACCCAUCUUUUUCAAAGGAUGGACCUGUGACUAGGACUGGUCUUUCCGGGAUUAGGAUUGUGGAAGAGGAUGAGGUUGGCCCAUCACGCUGGCCAUUGAAGAGAAUGAGUUCGCCAGAGAAGUGGGAAGCCAAACAGUUGAUUGCCUCAGGUGUUUUGGGUGUUACAGAGUAUCCUAUGUAUGAUGAGGAAACCGAUGGGAUGCUUUAUCAAGAAGAGGGAGCUGAGGAAGAGCUUGAGAUUGAGCUCAAUGAGGACGAGCCAGCCUUUUUAAAUGGACAGAGCAGGUAUUCUGUUGAUAUGUCACCUGUGAAAAUCUUUAAGAAUCCAGAAGGGUCACUGGGUCGUGCAGCUGCACUUCAGUCCGCACUCAUUAAGGAGCGUAGAGAAGUGCGUGAGCAGCAGCAAAGAACCAUGUUGGAUUCUAUCCCAAAGGAUCUCAAUCGUCCCUGGGAAGAUCCAAUGCCAGAGACUGGUGAGAGGCAUCUUGCACAAGAACUUAGAGGUGUUGGUUUAUCGGCAUAUGAUAUGCCUGAGUGGAAGAAGGAUGCUUUUGGGAAAACCAUCAGUUUUGGGCAGAGGUCAAAACUCUCAAUCCAGGAACAGAGGCAGAGCUUGCCUAUCUACAAGCUGAAGAAAGAAUUGAUUGCAGCGGUGCAUGAGAACCAAGUGCUUGUCGUCAUUGGUGAGACUGGUUCGGGUAAGACAACACAGGUAACACAGUAUCUUGCAGCAGUGGGUUACACGACAAUGGGUAAGAUUGAUUGUACACAGCCACGUAGGGUGGCUGCCAUGUCUGUGGCCAAGAGGGUUGCUGAAGAGUUUGGUUGUCGUUUAGGAGAGGAAGUCGGCUAUGCAAUUCGUUUUGAGGAUUGCACUGGUCCAGACACUGUCAUCAAGUACAUGACUGAUGGUAUGCUUCUUAGGGAGAUUUUGAUUGAUGAGAACCUUUCUCAGUAUUCUGUGGUCAUGCUUGAUGAAGCUCAUGAGAGGACAAUCCACACAGAUGUUCUUUUUGGACUACUGAAGAAGCUUGUGAAGCGGAGACCAGACCUUCGUUUGAUUGUCACAUCUGCUACCUUGGAUGCGGAGAAGUUUUCCGGUUAUUUCUUUAACUGUAACAUCUUCACUAUCCCUGGGAGAACUUUUCCUGUAGAGAUACUCUACACUAAACAGCCGGAAAGUGACUACCUUGAUGCAUCUCUAAUAACUGUUCUACAAAUACACUUGACAGAACCUGAAGGUGACAUUCUUCUUUUCUUGACUGGACAAGAAGAGAUUGAUUUUGCAUGCCAGUCUCUCUAUGAGAGGAUGAAAGGUCUUGGUAAAAAUGUCCCUGAGUUGAUUAUCCUACCAGUGUAUAGUGCCCUUCCUAGUGAAAUGCAGUCAAGGAUAUUUGAUCCUGCCCCACCAGGUAAGAGGAAAGUAGUUGUGGCUACUAAUAUUGCUGAGGCAUCACUGACCAUUGAUGGGAUAUUUUAUGUCAUUGAUCCUGGUUUUGCAAAGCAAAAUGUUUAUAACCCAAAGCAGGGGCUAGAUUCACUGGUCAUAACUCCAAUUUCCCAAGCAUCAGCUAAGCAACGAGCUGGGCGUGCUGGGCGUACAGGCCCUGGGAAAUGUUACCGCCUCUACACUGAGAGUGCAUACCGCAAUGAGAUGUCCCCUACUUCAAUUCCAGAAAUCCAGAGGAUAAAUCUUGGGACUACUACACUUACGAUGAAAGCUAUGGGGAUAAAUGAUCUCUUGUCUUUUGAUUUUAUGGAUCCUCCUUCACCCCAAGCACUCAUUUCUGCCAUGGAACAAUUGUACAGUUUAGGAGCACUGGAUGAGGAGGGGCUGCUCACCAAAUUGGGUAGGAAAAUGGCUGAGUUUCCUCUGGAUCCACCCUUGUCUAAGAUGCUAUUGGCCAGUGUGGACCUUGGAUGCAGUGAUGAGAUCUUGACCAUCAUUGCAAUGAUUCAGACUGGCAAUAUUUUUUACAGACCUAGGGAAAAACAAGCCCAGGCAGAUCAGAAGAGAGCCAAGUUUUUCCAGCCAGAGGGAGAUCAUCUGACUUUACUUGCAGUCUAUGAGGCAUGGAAAGCUAAGAAUUUUUCAGGGCCAUGGUGUUUUGAGAACUUUGUUCAGUCUCGAUCCUUGAGGAGGGCACAGGAUGUCAGAAAACAGCUUCUCAGCAUCAUGGACAAGUAUGUUCUUCUAAUUUAUCUUGAUGUGUAUUCGUGGCUGCAUGGAUUUUUUUUCUGGUUUCACAUGUGCAUGAAUGGUUUUAAAAGAUGUAGAUUAAUGUUCUAGGUUUUCUCAUGUUUGGUACAUUGUAUUUUUGCAGUAGUCGCGAAUUAGGCACUCCUUUUGCUGUCUGUACUUGAUGGAAAUGCUGAAAUGUUGUUCAGGCCUAGUUUGUGUUUUAAAAUCUUGAUAUAUGAUACCUGAGCAGCGAAUAGGUCAUUACGAGUUGUCAUGUUGAUGUUACUACAUACACUGUUUUCAGAGCAUUAUUAGCAGAAGUGCUUUUUUCCCAUUUUUUCAGUGGUUAAGUAUAGUAUCUUUAUAAAUUAUAACUACUCUUGUGUAUAGCUAAAUUGCCAGUAUAUGCUCUUCAAAUGUGCUCUCUUGUGCUGACAUGUUAGUCAUUUUGAUACCGGAAUUGUUUUUCUUGGUAAAGUGUGUGUACAAAAUAUUGCAAAACUAUUUUAAAAGUUGAUAUGAAAAUUCAGGUGGCAUAUUACACAUCGUACCAUCGCCAUUAACAGAUUUCAUUGAUUGACAUAGCAUUGUCAUGUAAGGUCUAGGAUAGAUUAUUAGAAAGAUUGUGUAUAAAAACCUAGCAUAAGUUUGUCAUGCCAAUGUCUCUACUAGCACCCCCUUGGUUUAGUUUAUAACAGUGGUCAACGAUUUCUAAGUUGAGUAUUCUGAUUUGAAGAUGAAAUUGCAUUCUGACUAUAGAUUGUGAAUUUCAGGUAUAAAGUGGAUGUUGUCAGUGCUGGAAAGAAUUUUCCAAAGAUCAGGAAGGCAAUUACGGCAGGGUUUUUCUU